Long non-coding RNA from Oncorhynchus tshawytscha (Chinook salmon), 3437 nucleotides. RefSeq lists it as uncharacterized. The transcript is spliced from 2 exons. The record is from RefSeq and is a predicted model, not a curated record. Lineage: Eukaryota; Metazoa; Chordata; Actinopteri; Salmoniformes; Salmonidae.
UCGUGUGAGUAAACUGAUCCGUACAGGCUCGGUGUAAUGCAUUGUGGGGGAGGAGAGAGAGAAGAUACUCCAUCCCUCUUUUUAUUGGGCGCUGCCACUGAAAAGAAGAGGGUGGAGUUCUCAGUUGUUUUUCUCUGGCUUCAACGAUAGUUUGCCGAGUCUCUCCCCGUCUUGUGUGUAAACUGAUCCGUACAGGCUCGGUGUAUUUUCGUGGGAGAGAGAGAGAGAGAGAGAGAGAGAGAGGGGGAGGAGUGGGAGAAGAUACUCCAUCCCUCUUUUUCUUGGCCGCUUUACCGCGGGCGUUACAGUUCAACGUGCAGUUUCUUGCCAAUUCAUCAGGGCGGACUUAAUCCAACAGUGUGUUCGUCUUUGAAUAUGAAACACAUUUGAAUUCAGUCUGUAUUUACGUUUUUUGGGCGUGAAGAAAAAUCUCUUGUCGUGGAGAAAGUGUCAAACUUCCAUACCGUGUCAUAUUUCCCGGGAUUUAGAGCGUCGUUGCUCGCUCGCUCCCUUCGGCUUCUCACAAUGUUUUCUCUCCCGGGGAAGAUCUGAACUUUUUACGGACGGUGACAACGUAGACAAUAGGACUUCGUUUGGGUUUUGGUUGUACAAAGAGAGGAGACGAACCGAUUAGGACUGCGAGUUCGUGUUCAACUACAAAUUCCUGAGAACCGACGAGGGCAACAGAACCGACGAGGGCAACAGAACCGGAGGGCAACAGAACCGACGAGGGCAACAGAACCGACGAGGGCAACAGAACCGACGAGGGCAACAGAACCGACGAGGGCAACAGAACCGACGGGGCAACAGAACCGACGAGGGCAACAGAACCGACGAGGGCAACAGAACCGACGAGGGCAACAGAACCGACGAGGGCACAACUAUGGGGCAAACAGACGGGUUGGAUUAGAUUGUUGACCACAUGUUAACUAUAUUUCAGCUCCAGUGUUUAUUGAAAACAAAAACAUUUGGUAAAUGAACACUUGUUGUCUGUCAUAUACAUUGUUAAAGUUGUUGGUUAGCUAGGUUGACAUGAAAUCAGCACCACAAAACCACAAAACAAUACAUGGUAUCAAGAACAAGAUGAAAUAAGUCACUUAGGAUUCCCCACAUGGCAUCUUCUAGUCAUUCUGGCUAUCUGGUCAUCCAGAAUCCCAACGACACGCUGACCUCUGCCCCAUGGAAGCGUGACCUCUGCCCCAUGGAAGCGUGACCUCUGCCCCAUGGAAGCGUGACCUCUGCCCCAUGGAAGCGUGACCUCUGACGUUGUCAGAUGACCCGUCUAUUGAUCGUUUUGUAUUUAAUUUAUUGCUUUUCUCUCCCAUCGUUCACUUUUCAUUAUAGUCACUUGCCACAAUUUAAUAAUAUAUUCAUCAUAUUACAAGACAUUCACUUUCUAUUCAUAGUAGAUUUACAUACAAGACCCUGGUACUUACCUACGGAGCAGCAAGAUGACCUGACCCUCCCUACCUUCAGGCUAUGUUCAAACCCUACAUCCCAACCAGAGUACUCUGGUCUCUUGGCUCUCCUACCCCUACGGGAGGGCAGCUCCAGCUCAGUCCAGUCCAACCUCUUCUCUGUCCUGGCACCCCAAUGUUGGAACCAGCUUCCCCCUGAAGCUAGGACAGCAGAGUCCCUGUCCGUCUUCUGAAAACAUCUGAAACCCUACCGCUUCAAAUAGUAUUUUAAGAAAUCCCACAGCACCCCUUUCAUUAAUUUACACUUGACUUUUUCCCUGCUUACAAACUCUGACUCUACUGAGCUACAUUAUUGAGGGAAAAUGUACUUUCUCUAACUGUGAUAUGUGGUUGUCUCACCUCGCUAUUUUAAGAUGAAUUAACUAACUUGAUCUGGGUAAUGGCAACUGCUAAAUGACUCAAAUGUGAAGUGGGACACCUGGUGAAGUGGGACACCCGGUGAAGUGGGACACCCGGUGAAGUGGGACACCCGGUGAAGUGGGACACCCGGUGAAGUGGGACACCCGGUGAAGUGGGACACCCGGUGAAGUGGGACACCCGGUGAAGUGGGACACCCGGUGAAGUGGGACACCCGGUGAAGUGGGACACCCGGUGAAGUGGGACACCCGGUGAAGUGGGACACCCGGUGAAGUGGGACACCCGGUGAAGUGGGACACCCGGUGAAGUGGGACACCCGGUGAAGUGGGACACCCGGUGAAGUGGGACACCCGGUGAAGUGGGACAGUUAAGGACGGGUGGUUCUUACAGGGAGGUUCAGGUGAACAGUAGUGGUCUGAAAGGUAAAGGUUUACAGAGGGAUUGUUUAGUGCCGCUUGUACGUCCUGUGUGUGUAAUGAAGCAUUAGCUUUUAGUCCAUUAGUGACUGGCAGUGUGUGUCACCUGUACUUGGGCUUCAGUAGCUAGAGUCCAAAGGUUGUUUCCUGUGGAAACACGGGGCCGUGUCUGCAUGCAUGUGUUUGUACUUGGGCUUCAGUAGCUAGAGUCCAAAGGUUGUUUACUGUGGAAACACGGGGCUGUGUCUGCAUGCAUGUGUUUGUACUUGGGCUUCAGUAGCUAGAGUCCAAAGGUUGUUUACUGUGGAAACACGGGGCUGUGUCUGCAUGCAUGUGUUUGUACUUGACUCAUCAGACCACUGAACAUGUUCAUUCCAGUCUGUUUGCUCACCAAGUCAACCUGGGAAGGUCCGUAGUUACCCCACCUGACGGUUUCACUUUCCAUUUCCUAUAAAGUCCUGUACUUACUGUCAGUCCUCCUGGGUAACACCAGAUGCAUCAUGGUUUAUUACUGUCAGUCCUCCUGGGUGACAGCAGAUUCUUUAUUACUGUCAGUCCUCCUGGGUGACAGCAGAUUCUUUAUUACUGUCAGUCCUCCUGGGUGACAGCAGAUGCAUCAUGUUAUUGUUACUAAUUUUUCAUUCUUCUUAUUUUAAACUCUGCAUUGUUGGGAAGGGCUCAUCAGCAGUCAUUUCACAGAAAAGUCUACACCAGUUGUAUACGGCACAGGUGCUGAAUACGAUUGGAUUUACAGUCUGGUGAAUCAUUUAGUUCUUCAGUUCUCCACCUGUAGGCUUUGGAAUAUCCCUACCUGAACAUUUCAGUUUCCAUUGUCUGUCCUACAUUUACUGUCAGUCCUGGACAUUCCUAAAUUCCAGGACACAGUCUGAGCUCUGCCAUGGAUGACUAAAUUGAUGGUGACUCAUUGACUUGUUUCAGUGUGUGGAGGGUUACUGUAAAUGUUACCCUUGUCCUUACAUGUUCAUAUGUUUUGGGCUCCUGAGUGGUCUAGGGCACUGCACCUCAGUGCUAGAGGCAUCCCUACAUCCCUACAGACCCUGGUUUGAUUCCAGGCUGUAUCACAACCGGCCGUGUUUGAGAGUCCCGUAGGGUUAAUUAGGCUGUCACUGUAAAUAAGAAUUUGUUCUUAACUGACUUGCAUAGUUAAAUAAAGGUUAAAUAAAUA